Molecule: ribosomal RNA, 253 nt
Filed under: uncultured bacterium
Lineage: Bacteria
Description: partial 16S ribosomal RNA
Rfam family: Bacterial small subunit ribosomal RNA
Source: RNAcentral
UACGUAGGGUGCGAGCGUUGUCCGGAAUUAUUGGGCGUAAAGAGCUCGUAGGCGGUCUGUCGCGUCGGGUGUGAAAGCCCCGGGCUCAACCUGGGAAUUGCAUUCGAGACUGAAUAGCUAGGGUACGGUAGAGGGAAGCGGAAUUUCCGGUGUAGCGGUGAAAUGCGUAGAUAUCGGAAGGAACAUCAGUGGCGAAAGCGGCUUCCUGGACCAGUACCGACGUUCAGGCACGAAAGCGUGGGGAGCAAACAGG